GAUGAACGCUGGCGGCGUGCCUAAUACAUGCAAGUCGAGCGAACAGACGAGGAGCUUGCUCCUCUGACGUUAGCGGCGGACGGGUGAGUAACACGUGGAUAACCUACCUAUAAGACUGGGAUAACUUCGGGAAACCGGAGCUAAUACCGGAUAAUAUAUUGAACCGCAUGGUUCAAUAGUGAAAGACGGUUUUGCUGUCACUUAUAGAUGGAUCCGCGCCGCAUUAGCUAGUUGGUAAGGUAACGGCUUACCAAGGCAACGAUGCGUAGCCGACCUGAGAGGGUGGUGAGCCACACUGGAACUGAGACACGGUACAGACUACGACGGGAGGAAGGAGUGGGGAAUGUUAGGCAAUGGGCGAAAGCCUGACGAAGCAAGGUCGAGUGAGUGAAGAAGGUCUUCGGGUCGUAAAACUCUGUUAUUGGGAAAGAAAAGAAGCGCAAGUAACUAUGCACGUCGUGACGGUACCUAAAGAGAAAGCCAAGGCUAACUACGUG
RNAcentral lists this ribosomal RNA (497 nucleotides) under uncultured bacterium. RNAcentral describes it as "partial 16S ribosomal RNA". It matches the Rfam family "Bacterial small subunit ribosomal RNA", at positions 28 to 507 of the family's 1533-position model. The record is from RNAcentral.